RNAcentral lists this ribosomal RNA (492 nucleotides) under uncultured bacterium. Its description in RNAcentral is "partial 16S ribosomal RNA". It matches the Rfam family "Bacterial small subunit ribosomal RNA", at positions 29 to 507 of the family's 1533-position model. The record is from RNAcentral.
AGUGAACGCCGGCGGUAGGCCUAACACAUGCAAGUCGAACGGCAGCACAGUAAGAGCUUGCUCUUACGGGUGGCGAGUGGCGGACGGGUGAGGAAUACAUCGGAAUCUACUUUUUCGUGGGGGAUAACGUAGGGAAACUUACGCUAAUACCGCAUACGACCUACGGGUGAAAGCAGGGGAUCUUCGGACCUUGCGCGAUUGAAUGAGCCGAUGUCGGAUUAGCUAGUUGGCGGGGUAAAGGCCCACCAAGGCGACGAUCCGUAGCUGGUCUGAGAGGAUGAUCAGCCACACUGGAACUGAGACACGGUCCAGACUCCUACGGGAGGCAGCAGUGGGGAAUAUUGGACAAUGGGCGCAAGCCUGAUCCAGCCAUACCGCGUGGGUGAAGAAGGCCUUCGGGUUGUAAAGCCCUUUUGUUGGGAAAGAAAAGCAGCAGGUUAAUACCCCGCUGUUCUGACGGUACCCAAGGAAUAAGCACCGGCUAACUUCGUG